Molecule: unclassified non-coding RNA, 358 nt
Filed under: soil metagenome
Description: partial contains 5.8S ribosomal RNA, internal transcribed spacer 2, and large subunit ribosomal RNA
Rfam family: 5.8S ribosomal RNA (bases 1-120)
Source: RNAcentral
GAUGAAGAACGUAGCGAAAUGCGAUAAGUAAUGUGAAUUGCAGAAUUCAGUGAAUCAUCGAAUCUUUGAACGCACAUUGCGCCCGUCAGUAUUCUGGCGGGCAUGCCUGUUCGAGUGUCAUUACGCCCCUCAAGUCCCCUGUGGACUUGGUGUUGGGGAUCGGCGAGGCUGGUUUUCCAGCACAGCCGUCCCUUAAAUUAAUUGGCGGUCUCGCCGUGGCCCUCCUCUGCGCAGUAGUAAAACACUCGCAACAGGAGCCCGGCGCGGUCCACUGCCGUAAAACCCCCCAACUUUUUAUAGUUGACCUCGAAUCAGGUAGGACUACCCGCUGAACUUAAGCAUAUCAAUAAGCGGAGGA